CAUGCUCCACACAAAUUAUUAGUAAUUUGAGUCAGAGGCCAUCCAACUGAAGCAGUGAUGUAACACCAGUAGUUUUGAUUGCUUUAAAAGCAAUAGAAAGCUACGCAAGAGUGU
This 114-nucleotide small RNA is filed under the name unclassified sequences. RNAcentral describes it as "COG3943 RNA". It matches the Rfam family "COG3943 RNA". From Rfam's summary of the family: cow rumen. Environment (Cow rumen (57)) The record is from Rfam by way of RNAcentral.